UUCACCCAUGGCUGUAAGUCACUUUGGAUAAAAGCAUCUGCUAAAUUGUAUAUA
Molecule: non-coding RNA, 54 nt
Organism: Salmo salar (Atlantic salmon)
Lineage: Eukaryota; Metazoa; Chordata; Actinopteri; Salmoniformes; Salmonidae
Source: Rfam